Molecule: ribosomal RNA, 468 nt
Filed under: uncultured bacterium
Lineage: Bacteria
Description: partial 16S ribosomal RNA
Rfam family: Bacterial small subunit ribosomal RNA
Source: RNAcentral
GACGAACGCUGGCGGCGGGCUUAACACAUGCAAGUCGAACGGAAAAGCCCUGCUUUUGUGUGGUUCUCGAGUGGCGAACGUGUGAGUAACACGGGAGUAUCCUUCCCUUGACUGUGUGAUAACUUCAGAAAACUGGUGCUAAUACCUGAGAGGUGCUCCUGCUGCAUGGGGGGGGUUGGAAAGUUUCGGCGGUGAGGGAUGGACUCGCGGCUUAUCAGCUUGUUGGUUGGGUAGUUGCUUACCAAGGCUUUGACGGGUAGCCGGCCUGAGAGCGUGAACGGGCACAUUGGGCCUGAGAUAGGGCGCAGAGUGCUACGGGAGGCAGCAGUGGGGAAUAUUGCACAAUGGGCGGACGCCUGAUGAAGAAACGUUGCGUGCGGGAUGACGGCCUUCGGGUUGUAAACCGCUUUAGCUUGUGACGAAGCGUGAGUGACGGUAAUGGGUAAAGAAGCACCGGCUAACUACGUG